Molecule: ribosomal RNA, 465 nt
Filed under: Vreelandella stevensii
Lineage: Bacteria; Pseudomonadati; Pseudomonadota; Gammaproteobacteria; Oceanospirillales; Halomonadaceae
Description: partial 16S ribosomal RNA
Rfam family: Bacterial small subunit ribosomal RNA
Source: RNAcentral
CCUACGGGGGGCUGCAGUGGGGAAUAUUGGACAAUGGGGGGAACCCUGAUCCAGUCAUGCCGCGUGUGUGAAGAAGGCCCUCGGGUUGUAAAGCACUUUCAGUGAGGAAGAACGCCUGGUGGUUAAUACCCAUCAGGAAAGACAUCACUCACAGAAGAAGCACCGGCUAACUCCGUGCCAGCAGCCGCGGUAAUACGGAGGGUGCGAGCGUUAAUCGGAAUUACUGGGCGUAAAGCGCGCGUAGGUGGCUUGAUAAGCCGGUUGUGAAAGCCCCGGGCUCAACCUGGGAACGGCAUCCGGAACUGUCAAGCUAGAGUGCAGGAGAGGAAGGUAGAAUUCCCGGUGUAGCGGUGAAAUGCGUAGAGAUCGAGAGGAAUACCAGUGGCGAAGGCGGCCUUCUGGACUGACACUGACACUGAGGUGCGAAAGCGUGGGUAGCAAACAGGAUUAGAUACCCCAGUAGUC